AACGAACGCUGGCGGCGUGCUUAACACAUGCAAGUCGAACGCGAACGGGACUUCGGUUCCUAGUAGAGUGGCGCACGGGUGAGUAACGCGUAGAUAACCUGUCUUCAUAUCCGGAAUAACACGCCGAAAGGGGUACUAAUACCGGAUAUUCUUGCAUUUCACAGGUAAGGCAAGGAAAGGUGGCCUCUGAUUCAAGCUACUGUAUGAAGAGGGGUCUGCGUACCAUUAGCUAGUAGGUGGGGUAAUGGCCUACCUAGGCGACGAUGGUUAGCGGGUCUGAGAGGAUGAUCCGCCACACUGGCACUGGAAUACGGGCCAGACUCCUACGGGAGGCAGCAGUGAGGAAUAUUGCGCAAUGGGGGCAACCCUGACGCAGCGACGCCGCGUGAGUGAGGAAGGUCUUCGGAUCGUAAAGCUCUGUCAAGAGGGAAGAAGUGCAAGGCAGCGAAUAACUGUUUUGUUUGACGUACCUCUAA
This 476-nucleotide ribosomal RNA is filed under the name Desulfobulbus sp. oral taxon 041. RNAcentral describes it as "bacterial SSU rRNA". It matches the Rfam family "Bacterial small subunit ribosomal RNA", at positions 29 to 484 of the family's 1533-position model. Lineage: Bacteria; Pseudomonadati; Thermodesulfobacteriota; Desulfobulbia; Desulfobulbales; Desulfobulbaceae. The record is from RNAcentral.